RNAcentral lists this ribosomal RNA (253 nucleotides) under uncultured bacterium. RNAcentral's name for it is "partial 16S ribosomal RNA". It matches the Rfam family "Bacterial small subunit ribosomal RNA", at positions 524 to 776 of the family's 1533-position model. The record is from RNAcentral.
UACGUAGGGGGCAAGCGUUAUCCGGAUUUACUGGGUGUAAAGGGUGCGUAGGCGGCUUUGCAAGUCAGAAGUGAAAUCUAUGGGCUUAACCCAUAAACUGCUUUUGAAACUGCAGGGCUUGAGUGAAGUAGAGGUAGGCGGAAUUCCCGGUGUAGCGGUGAAAUGCGUAGAGAUCGGGAGGAACACCAGUGGCGAAGGCGGCCUACUGGGCUUUAACUGACACUGAGGCUCGAAAGCGUGGGGAGCAAACAGG